GCCAGGUGUGGUGGUGCACGCCUGUAGUCCCAGCUACUUGGGACGCUGAGGUGGGAGGAUCACCUGAGCCUGGGGAGACUGAGGCUGCAGUGAGCUGCAAUGGUGCCACGGCACUCCAGCCUGGGCAACAGAGUGAGACCCUGUCUCAA
This 149-nucleotide small RNA is filed under the name Pongo abelii (Sumatran orangutan). RNAcentral describes it as "Metazoan signal recognition particle RNA (ENSPPYG00000037218.1)". The record is from Rfam by way of RNAcentral. Lineage: Eukaryota; Metazoa; Chordata; Mammalia; Primates; Hominidae.